RNAcentral lists this long non-coding RNA (1187 nucleotides) under Eutrema salsugineum. Its description in RNAcentral is "long non-coding RNA (ESAL_LNC000296)". The record is from RNAcentral. Lineage: Eukaryota; Viridiplantae; Streptophyta; Magnoliopsida; Brassicales; Brassicaceae.
CUGCGAAAUCGAUUAUAUCGUAGAUCUUUCUCUGGUUCAUAUUUGAAGUGUUUAAGCCCAGAAGAAGCAAAGCAAGUCUUAAUGGAGUUACAUGAAGGUGAAUGUGGAUCUCAUUCAGGAGGGAGAAAAUUAGUGCUACGAGCAAAAAGAGCUGGAUACUACUGGUCAACCAUGAACAAUGACGCGAUGAACUUUGUUCGUCACUGCAACAAAUGUCAACGGCUUGCUACAAUCUCCAAAUUGCCACCGGAGAACCUGAAAACCAUCAGCUCGCCAUGACCGUUUAUGAAGUGGGGCAUGGAUAUAGUGGGAAAAUUACCUAGAGCCCCUGCACAAAAAGUAUUUCUGUUGGUAGUAACAGACUACUUUUCAAAAUAGGUAGAAGCAGAAGCCCACAGUCAGGUCACAGACAAAGAGGUUCGAAACUUCAUAUGGAAAAAUGUUGUAUGCAAAUUCGGUGUUCCGCACGAGAUUAUCACAGACAAUGACACCCAGUUUACAAGCAAGAAGUUCAAAGAAUUUUACAACACUUUUAAGCUUCGCGACGCCGAGACACCCACAGUCCAACGGAUAGGCCCAGUCAUCACAAGAUUUAAACCCUCCAUGUACUACUUGAAAGCAGAGUAUCAAACAAGCAAAGCUCUGUGUUCCUUUUUAACAAGAGAGGUGGUGAGCGAACUCACCUAGUUGUAAAGAGGCUCAAUUUGUAUGGUGGCCCGCCGUCUACUAUCAAACGCUGAAAGCUGUGAAGCCUGCAUCAAAAGGAAGCAGCAGCAGACAGAAUCAGCUAGGAGAAAUUGAAGACCAUCCCCAUUUGCGUUUAAAAAAAACGAGCUGGAAGCUUAGGCAAAAUAAAAAAAUAAUAAAUAAAUGAUAGUUAUAUGGAAAAAGACAGCAGCAAAUAGCAGGUGGCGUCACAAGUAAAAGGGAGGAAGAAAGGAAUAUAGUAGACUACAAAAUGUGAGAAAGGAAAUGGAGGAGAAGAAACUCACGGUGAAUACUCUUUGGGAAGGGGAAACAAUGGCUGCAUCUAGGUCAUUUGAGGGAGAAGAGUCUUUUAAAAAUAAAAAAAAAAGACCCAGCAGACAUGUUUUCACGAUGGGCCAAAAGUAUAAUGAGGCCCAAUUUAUGGUUUUAAUCUCUUUUUAAAGAAAUUAAAUCAGCCAAGCCCGCUAAUAUUUAUUGAG